This 253-nucleotide ribosomal RNA is filed under the name uncultured bacterium. RNAcentral describes it as "partial 16S ribosomal RNA". It matches the Rfam family "Bacterial small subunit ribosomal RNA", at positions 524 to 776 of the family's 1533-position model. The record is from RNAcentral.
UACGUAGGUGACAAGCGUUGUCCGGAUUUACUGGGCGUAAAGAGCGCGCAGGCGGUCGUUCAAGUCGAGUGUGAAAGCCCCCGGCUCAACUGGGGAGGGUCACUCGAUACUGAUCGACUCGAAGGCAGGAGAGGGAAGUGGAAUUCCCGGUGUAGUGGUGAAAUGCGUAGAUAUCGGGAGGAACACCAGUGGCGAAGGCGGCUCUCUGGGACGGUACUGACGCUGAGACGCGAAAGCGUGGGGAGCGAACAGG